CCCAACUAUCCCUAUUAAUCAUUACGGUGAUCCUAGAAACCAACAAAAUAGAACCAUGCCGUCCUAUUUUAUUAUUCCAUGCUAAUCUAUUCAAGCACUAGCCUGCUUUAAGCCCUCUAAUUUUUUCAAGGUAAUAGCUCUGCUUCCCCAACGCCCCAAAUUAAUGGCAUGCUGGUUAUUCAGAAGGUAAGAAUCCAUCAAAUCAGUGCGGACAAUGAAGCCCGACCGAUAGACAAUCCCGAAAUUCAACU
RNAcentral lists this ribosomal RNA (251 nucleotides) under uncultured Acaulospora. Its description in RNAcentral is "partial 18S ribosomal RNA". The record is from RNAcentral. Lineage: Eukaryota; Fungi; Glomeromycota; Glomeromycetes; Diversisporales; Acaulosporaceae.